This is a long non-coding RNA of Nerophis ophidion (straightnose pipefish), 2099 nucleotides long. RefSeq lists it as uncharacterized. NCBI's taxonomy places the organism in Eukaryota, Metazoa, Chordata, Actinopteri, Syngnathiformes, Syngnathidae. The transcript is spliced from 6 exons. The record is from RefSeq and is a predicted model, not a curated record.
GCAAGUCCACCUCAUCUUCGUACACCUCAGCAGCAAUUUCCUCUCUGCCAGGUUUGCUCAUGUACAGAAACUGCAACACGCGGGCAAAACGUGACGCUGCAGGAUGACUAACGGGAGAAUACACCGAGAUGUUUACCUUUGGGAUGAAGAGUAGCGCGAGCGUCACAGUGAUGGUCACAUGGGUGUGUGCGAAGGAGAGCAGAAGCAUCCAAUCAGGAUGCAGAGAAGGAAACGUGAACCUGAGGGAGAACACAACAUACCAUAUGACUUCUCCAAGGAUCCUUCUAAUUGAACUUAGCUAGUCGUUAACCUGCACAGGUGGAACAUGGUGGAAAGAAGCAGCUCGUUGUGGAUAGCGAUGCCCAUGUAACGAGGCUCGUGGAAGGCUGAGGGCACCGGCCGGACUGCGGUCCACAGGGAGCUUCCCCAGCACAGGAACAGGAGCUCAGCUGUGGUAGUAGCAUAGUCCCGUUAAUCCCAACAGAUAUCUCUGCUUGGACAUAGGGACACAUUCUUAAUUGUUUAGCUGUCACAGUCACUCACCAACCGCCAUCAUGUAGUCCCAGCGGUCCAGGUAGCACAGGUUGAAGUCCUGGCCCUCUGAUGUGCUGCCUGUCACAAACACUGGAAUGUUCCGGUCGCGGUUCUGCAGAACCCCCACUGUCCAGGCGCACAGGAACCAACUGACCGUCAUCAGCAUCACUCCCAGAAUCCUCAGUAGGUGGAGGCUGGACAUGUACGGGACCCUUUGGGCUGUGCGGGAUAGGAACACUUUCAGCACCCUGCAAAGAGGGUGAGCGUUCCGUAGACGAUGGAGAAACCCAACAUUCGGACCCAGCGAAGAAGGAUACACCUGAAGGUACUGGGCCUGAAGUACAGGAUGAAGACCUGCAGAGGCCCAGAUGGAAAACUUGUAGUGACAUGUCGCAGCCGACUGAACGACACCCCACCCCUUUGGAAGAAUGACAGUAUGCUUCAUGCAAAACUGAGGCAGACUUUGCCUGGGUCCACCAGGAAACAUCAUGUCCAACAGCAGUCGGCGGACGACUGUAAUCCAGGAAUUAGAGCACAUUCGGGAUGAGAGCAUCAGCUAAAAGGCCAACGUAUCAACACUUACGGGGAAGUAGAGGAGCAGCGAGCCGAACAAGAUGAUCUCCAGCAGCAGCAGACCGGACGCCCGGAUCCUCUGAGCGGGACACGAGACGCCAUCACGUUAGCAUGUUAGCCUGUUAGCUCGCAGGCCCGCCCACUCACCCUGCUACGGCGAUGGCGGUAAGCCGCCAGCAUGCUGAUGAAGACGAGCGCCAUGAAGGUCCCCUGGACAGCCAGCACGCCCGCCCUCAGCAGCCAGUCCUCCUGCACCCGGCAGGGGGCGCCGUCCUGGCAGCGCCUGCAGUCCGGCCAACACGGCAAACAGCCAUCUUGUGGAGGUACCUGCGUCUGGAUCGGUGGCGUCAGGGUUGUAGUAUCCUUCUGUGCAGCGACAACAGUACUGACCCAGACGGAAGCCCCGCCCCUUGAUUGGCACGCACUGCAGGCAGGAAGGACAAGACUGGUGGAAGAGUGUUGCCAUGGUAACGCAGCUGACCUUUGACCUCGCAUGAAGAUCGAGGCCUGCAGGUUAUUCUGAUCUCACACACACACACACACACAUACACACACGGCAUAGCUCACUUGGUAGAGUGGCCGUACCAGCAACUUUAGAGUUCCAGGUUCGAUUCCUAGUCACUGCCGUUGUGUCCUUGGGCAAGACUCUUUUACCCACCUGCUCCCAGUGCCCACCCACUCUGGUUUAAAUGGAACUCAGAUAUUGGGUUUCACUAUGUAAAAGUGCCCAUAAGGACCAGAUGAGUCGCCCGCUGGCCUGUUCUAAAAAUAGCUCAAAUAGCAGCACUUACCAGUGAGCUGCCUCUAUUUUUUAAACUUUAUUUAUUUACUAGCAAGCUGGUCUCGCUUUGCUGGACAUUUUUAAUUCUAAGAGAGACAAAACUCAAAUAGAAUUAGAAAAUCCAAGAAAAUAUUUGAAAGACUUGGUCUUCACUUGUUUAAAUAAAUUCAUUUAUUUUUUUACUUUGCUUCUUAUAACUUUCAGAAAGACA